RNAcentral lists this ribosomal RNA (201 nucleotides) under Triticum aestivum (bread wheat). RNAcentral's name for it is "partial small subunit ribosomal RNA". Lineage: Eukaryota; Viridiplantae; Streptophyta; Magnoliopsida; Poales; Poaceae. The record is from RNAcentral.
AUGUUGAGUGUGAAGAACAGUUCGAUAACCACCGUGCCCUCGACAUUGCCAAUCGGCUCUUCGCCAAUCGGCUCCGCAAUUGUGCACUUGCUGCCGUACUUGACAACUGCCACCACCUCGAGUCCCUUGAUCUGCGCCAGUGCUUCAACAUCCACAUCGAUGCAGAGCUGCGGGCGAAGUGUGCAAGGCUUAGAGACGUGA